Molecule: unclassified non-coding RNA, 351 nt
Filed under: soil metagenome
Description: partial contains 5.8S ribosomal RNA, internal transcribed spacer 2, and large subunit ribosomal RNA
Rfam family: 5.8S ribosomal RNA (bases 1-120)
Source: RNAcentral
GAUGAAGAACGUAGCGAAAUGCGAUAAGUAAUGUGAAUUGCAGAAUUCAGUGAAUCAUCGAAUCUUUGAACGCACAUUGCGCCCGCCAGUAUUCUGGCGGGCAUGCCUGUUCGAGCGUCAUUUCAACCCUCAGGCCCCCAGUGCCUGGUGUUGGGGAUCGGCCCAGCCUUCCUGUAAGGCCGCCGGCCCCGAAAUCUAGUGGCGGUCUCGCUGUAGUCCUCCUCUGCGUAGUAGCACAACCUCGCAGUUGGAACGCGGCGGUGGCCAUGCCGUUAAACACCCCACUUCUGGAAGUUGACCUCGGAUCAGGUAGGAAUACCCGCUGAACUUAAGCAUAUCAAUAACGGAGGA